RNAcentral lists this ribosomal RNA (464 nucleotides) under uncultured bacterium. RNAcentral describes it as "partial 16S ribosomal RNA". It matches the Rfam family "Bacterial small subunit ribosomal RNA", at positions 28 to 506 of the family's 1533-position model. The record is from RNAcentral.
GACGAACGCUGGCGGCGUGCUUAACACAUGCAAGUCGUACGGUAAGGCCCUUUCGGGGGUACACGAGUGGCGAACGGGUGAGUAACACGUGAGUAACCUGCCCACAACUUUGGGAUAACGCUAGGAAACUGGUGCUAAUACUGGAUAUGUGCUCCUGCUGCAUGGUGGGGGUUGGAAAGCUCCUGCGGUUGUGGAUGGACUCGCGGCCUAUCAGCUUGUUGGUGGGGUAGUGGCCUACCAAGGCGGCGACGGGUAGCCGGCCUGAGAGGGUGACCGGCCACAUUGGGACUGAGAUACGGCCCAGACUCCUACGGGAGGCAGCAGUGGGGAAUAUUGCACAAUGGGCGCAAGCCUGAUGCAGCAACGCCGCGUGCGGGAUGACGGCCUUCGGGUUGUAAACCGCUUUCAGCAGGGACGAAGCUUUUUGUGACGGGACCUGCAGAAGAAGCACCGGCUAACUACGU